Molecule: ribosomal RNA, 253 nt
Filed under: uncultured bacterium
Lineage: Bacteria
Description: partial 16S ribosomal RNA
Rfam family: Bacterial small subunit ribosomal RNA
Source: RNAcentral
UACAGAGGUCUCAAGCGUUGUUCGGAUUCAUUGGGCGUAAAGGGUGCGUAGGCGGCGCGGUAAGUCGGGUGUGAAAUCUCGGAGCUUAACUCCGAAACUGCAUUCGAUACUGCCGUGCUUGAGGACUGGAGAGGAGACUGGAAUUUACGGUGUAGCGGUGAAAUGCGUAGAUAUCUGGAGGAACACCGGUGGCGAAGGCGGCGUCCUGGACCAACACUGACACUGAAAAGCGAAAGCCAGGGGAGCAAACGGG